GCUUGACUGUAUCUUGGAAUUGGGUUCGGGCUUUUCUUGCGCAGACUAGGUGGGAGGCUAUGAAGAUUUUCUUCUGGGAAAGUUGGAGCCAACAGUGAGAGACCACUCUGGAAAGGCUAGAAUCCUAAUGGUGAUCCUUGAAUCAGGACACUUGACAGUUUCAGGUGGGCAGUUUUUCUGGGGCGGAAGCCUCAUAAAAGGUAACUGAGGCGCGCAAAGGUCCCCUCAGUCUGGACGGAAAUCAGACAUUGAGUGUAAGGCAAAAGGGGGCUUGACUGCAAGACCCACAAGUCGAGCAGGGGCGAAAGCUGGCCUUAGUGAUCCGACGGUGCCGUGUGGAAGGGCCGUCGCUCAACGAAUAAAAGUUA
Molecule: ribosomal RNA, 368 nt
Filed under: uncultured alga
Lineage: Eukaryota
Description: bacterial LSU rRNA
Rfam family: Bacterial large subunit ribosomal RNA
Source: RNAcentral